UCGUCUCCCCGACUUUACUUGGGCAAAGUGAGAUGGUUUGCUGCCGUUUAUCAGGUAAACUCAACAUGUUAGACUUCACAGCGUGUUCAACCUCACCACAGAAGACUGUGGUAAAAAGAAAACUAUAUGCUCAGCUUUCAUGGUCCUAUUUAUCAGUAUCUGAUCAACACACCAUUAAAAAGAUCAGAUUUUUUUAUUUAUCUAUGUUGUUUCUUGAUAUUACGGUGUAACAAAGCUUUUAAAUUCUUGUUGGUUUUGUGGUUAAAGUAAAUCUUGCGAUGAUGAC
This is a long non-coding RNA of Thalassophryne amazonica, 286 nucleotides long. RefSeq lists it as uncharacterized. NCBI's taxonomy places the organism in Eukaryota, Metazoa, Chordata, Actinopteri, Batrachoidiformes, Batrachoididae. The transcript has 4 exons. The record is from RefSeq and is a predicted model, not a curated record.